This 520-nucleotide ribosomal RNA is filed under the name Phanocles vosseleri. Its description in RNAcentral is "partial 16S ribosomal RNA". It matches the Rfam family "Bacterial large subunit ribosomal RNA", at positions 1811 to 2608 of the family's 2925-position model. The record is from RNAcentral. Lineage: Eukaryota; Metazoa; Arthropoda; Insecta; Phasmatodea; Diapheromeridae.
AAACAUCUUCUCUUGUUAUUUUUAAGAGAUUUGUCCUGCCCAAUGAUUUAUUUAAUGGCCGCAGUAUCUUGACUGUGCAAAGGUAGCAUAAUCAUUAGUCUAUUAAUUGUUGACUUGAAUGAAUGGUUUGACGAAAUAUUAACUGUCUCAUGAUUAUUAAUAUAAUUUAAAUUUUGAGUUAAAAUGCUUAAAUUUUAUUAUGGGACGAGAAGACCCUAUAGAUCUUUAAUUUUUAGGUUUUAUUUUAUUUAGGAUAUUUAAUUUGUAAUUCUUAGGGAAUUUUUGUUGGGGUGACAUUAGGAUAAAAUUAACUCCUUUUUUUUGUUUACAUUAAUAUGUGAUUAUUUGAACUUUAUUUUUGUUAUAAGAUUUAGAUACCUUAGGGAUAACAGCGUUAUUUUUAUUGAGAGUUCAUAUCAACAUAAAAGAUUGCGACCUCGAUGUUGGAUUAAGGGUAAUUUUUAGGUGUAGGUGCUUAAUAAAUAGGUCUGUUCGACCUUUAAAUCCUUACAUGAUCUGA